Molecule: ribosomal RNA, 512 nt
Filed under: Heterorhabditis sp. SGmtr15
Lineage: Eukaryota; Metazoa; Nematoda; Chromadorea; Rhabditida; Heterorhabditidae
Description: eukaryotic LSU rRNA
Rfam family: 5.8S ribosomal RNA (bases 75-224)
Source: RNAcentral
UGGGUCCGCGACAAUCUGUAGUCAUUACUCAACUCCCGAACAGAGAGAGGGCAGCCAGAUUCGUAUAUGGAAAAUGGCCUUGGCGAUGGAUCGGUUAAUUCGGGUAUGGAUGACAAACGCAGCUAGCUGUGUUUUUUACCACGAAUUGCAGACGCUUAGAGUGGUGAAGUUUUGAACGCACAGCGCCGUUGGGUUUUCCCUUCGGCACGUCUGGCUCAGGGUUGUUUAAUAGACUUCGAUAUUGCUAGGAAGGCAGCAAUAUCGUGCACCGAACGGUGAUAGUGUCUAUAAAAUAGUGGUGCAUACCCCGUUUUAGGGUAAAAUAAAGGUCGUAAACUGAAACUUCUUCCGCCCGAGAAGUUAUAGGUAAUACUUAUGGAUGUGCCAUGUAUGAAAUAUGACGUGGUUAUAUACAUAAAUAGUAUUUCCUUGAAGUCUCAUUAUGCAACCUGAGCUCAGUCGUGAUUACCCGCCGAACUUAAGCAUAUCAUCAGCGGAGAAAAAAACACCCG